AAACCUUUGAGCACUAAAAGCAUAGAAGCGGCCUCCGUCUUUUGUCUUCACUCGCUAAAUCAAUCAAUCCAUAUUGAAUCGGAGUUACCUUUUUUUCUCCCAUUUGAUUGAGCAUUUAUUGAGGGUUGUUACAAUCAAAAACCCUAAAUCCAGUGUUUCCUUUCAUCCUUUGCCUCCCAAUUGAAAGAACCCUAGAUCUCAUCUCUCUACCUGAAGUACUUUCAAGGGUAUCCAGAUGAGGCUUGGAUCAAAAAUUGAUAAAAUCAACAAGUUAGGCUUCCAUGUUGAGGUUUCACCAUCCUUGCCCUUUUUUAUUUUGUAUCAAAGGUCUUAGAUCUUGGUAUGUCAGGCCAUGUUUGAUGGAUAUAUAAAUAACAGGAAACUGUGGGGGAAAAAUAAAGAAAUUAGCGGAUGCUAUGUGGCGAACUGAGAUUGAGGUAUUGCUACUCUACCUUUUUAACGUGGGUUCAGCCUUCAAGUAUUCACUCUUCAUUGGCUGAUUAUCUAUUUUGGUUAGUUUGUGUUUCAAUUGUGUACCAGUGUAUUUUCUAUUUUAACUAUGUUACUUGAAGUCUAGAACAAAUCGAUUGCACAGUUCUGCUGCUAAUGUUCUUAGGGUUUCUUAUUCUCAAUUGGCUACUGUUGUAGAUGAAACACCCUAAUCUCAAUCCAUUCCGAUGACUACAAUAGGGAGUAUAGGGAUUUUCUCCAGCAGCUUUAGGGGAAGUCUUUAGUUGAAGAUCAAUAGAAGACUGAGUCAUGAAGGUUGUUGAAGGAACUUUCAACAGCAGGUCGAACCGAAUUAAAUGAUAGCGAACCAAGUGUUUUUCGUUCUGCUAUAGAGGAAACAAUUCUAGCAGAACACAGGUUUACCUGGUAGAGUUUGAAAGAAAAGCUAAAACCUUGCCCUUUCAUGAGGAUUUUUCGGUAAGUCAGUCUAACUUAUGGUUAGCAUUAGACUUACCAAUUUGAUGCACCCCUUGAAAUGGCAGCAAUUUAGCCUCUAACAAUAGGGAAGUUCUUCGGUUGCCCUUGAUAUACAUAGCUUGCAAUUACAAAUUUACAAUCAUUAAUUUGUUUAGUUGAAAUCUCAAAAUUAUGAUUAAUAACUUCUAACAAUGGCUCUAUGUUCUUGAAUUCCUUUUUUCCUUCAAUUGAUUAAUAAGUUCUCCGUUGUCGACGUUUCGGCACUGGUGAAAUUUAUGCAACAAUAGUGAAGCUCGACUUUUAAUACUGAUAAUGUGAUAUUAUAAAAAUCAAAUUUGGAUAUCAUAAAAGUUGAGAUGUCAAUGAGGGUGUUUAACAUCCAUCAUAUUAAGUUGGUAAAUGAUGAGUUAAUAGAUUUAUUACCCUUAAAACCUUUAAUAAUUUUCAUAUUUUUGUUUGCAAAUCCGGUCCCAUUAACAUUGUAGAGCUUGAAGUGCGAGUACCACUCUAUGAUUUGAUAGGUCCAGAAGAAGGUGGUUUAUAUCAUUUUUGUUAGAAGUAUGAUGACAGCCGGUAAGAGUGAUGAUCCGGUUGUUGCGAAACGGUCCCACAAAAAGUAAUUAAGUGUUGGUGUUCGAAGGUAUGUUGUGGCGGUUUGAUUCUUUCGUUUCUUUUUUUCAGUGUUUUGGGUUAAUUUGGUGAUUUGGUUUCUUUUAUUGUGGGUAUUAUGGGUCAUCUUUUGUUUAGAAUUUAGUGAAGGAGAGCUUAUGGGACUAAAAAUCCAGAAAUUUGUGGGUCUGAGAAGUUUAUAUCAUGGCAUUUUAGUGGUGGAUUUGGGCAAAAAUCACAAGUUUUUUAGUUGUUACCUGUGGCCCUAUUUGGUGUCCAUUUUGUCCAGGUUGUUAUGCCUCAUGUGGGCCAGUUUUAUCUUUUAUAAAUUGGCCAAUCUUCUAUCAGUUUAGACCAGCUCCAAUCCGUGAAAAGAGUUGGGUAUGUUUGAUGGUGUUUAUUGGUUUUGAUGGCCCACCACCUGAUUUUAUUAGUUGGGUGGAAGGGGUUUAAUAGACCCGUUAUAUCAAUUUUUUGUUGGGUAGGGGCUGCGUUUUUUUUAACCACCAGAUGGCGGCUUUUCAUCGUGUAAGAAAGUGGACCAGAAAAGUCAAAACCUUUUUUGUGAAAGGUUAUGUCUUUAUUCCAAUAAUUACAAGUAAGUUGAAAAACUUCUAAAUUUCCUUUCCUUUAAGAAACUCGUUUUCUAAAAGAAAACCAAGUUUUUGAUGGGUGAGUUACGAUUUUGUGAGCCUAGGUUUCUAAUUGCACCUUUUUAUGUUGCCCGUUCUUAUUUCACAAUACACACAUAUCAUAUCUAUACCUAUUUAAUACAUAAUCCAAUUGUAUUUUAUCUCAAAAUAUCCUAUUAAAAUACCGAAUCUUAAAAGAAUGGACUAUGAUGCUUAAGAUAAACUCAAUAAAGGUGAUAUUUAUUUACCAACUUCAAAUUAAUUUGAUGUUCAGCUUGGUCUUCUAAUUAUAGGUUUUCGGACAAGUGAGGUGGUUAGUAAUAGUAACACGGAGUACCCUCUUGGCUGCAGUAGACUUGAAAGCUUAAUUGACUAUAGCAUACAUGACUAUUAAAAUCCGGUGAAGUUUACGACGCAGGAACACAAAGUUGUAACUAAAGUGGAUGUGCGCGCGGUCUUACUCAUGCUCCUGGAUGUUGUUAUGUUUAUCUUUAAAUAAAGUUGUAAACUUUCAGACAAUGUGUUGUCUCGUGAUGUAAACACUUAAACCAUGUUUUCUGUUAUGUAAUGGUGUUUGAAGUUAUUUUUACGAGCAUGUAGUAUGUUUACCUUUCGUA
Long non-coding RNA from Helianthus annuus (common sunflower), 2785 nucleotides. RefSeq lists it as uncharacterized. The transcript is spliced from 7 exons. The record is from RefSeq and is a predicted model, not a curated record. Lineage: Eukaryota; Viridiplantae; Streptophyta; Magnoliopsida; Asterales; Asteraceae.